This 497-nucleotide ribosomal RNA is filed under the name uncultured bacterium. Its description in RNAcentral is "partial 16S ribosomal RNA". It matches the Rfam family "Bacterial small subunit ribosomal RNA", at positions 28 to 507 of the family's 1533-position model. The record is from RNAcentral.
GAUGAACGCUGGCGGCGUGCCUAAUACAUGCAAGUCGAGCGAACAGACGAGGAGCUUGCUCCUCGGACGUUAGCGGCGGACGGGUGAGUAACACGUGGAUAGCCUACCUAUAAGACGGGGAUAACUUCGGGAAACCGGAGCUAAUACCGGAGAAGAUAUUGAACCGCAUGGGGCAAUAGUGAAAGACGGUGUUGCUGGCACGUAUAGAUGGAUCUACGCCGCAUUAGCUAGUUGGUAAGGUAACGGCUUACCAAGGCAACGAUGCGUAGCCGACCUGAGAGGGUGAUCGGCCACACUGGAGCUGGGCCACCGUCCAGGCUCCUACGGGAGGCCGCAGUAGGGAAUCUUCCGCAGUGGGCGAAAGCCUGACGGAGCAACGCCGCGUGAGUGAUGAAGGUCUUCCGAUCGUAAUGCUCUGUUAUUAGGGAAGAACAACUGUGUAAGUAACUAUGCACGUCUUGACGGUACCUAAUCAGAAAGCCACGGCUAACUACGUG